RNAcentral lists this ribosomal RNA (476 nucleotides) under uncultured bacterium. RNAcentral describes it as "bacterial SSU rRNA". It matches the Rfam family "Bacterial small subunit ribosomal RNA", at positions 28 to 521 of the family's 1533-position model. The record is from RNAcentral.
GAUGAACGCUAGCGGCGUGCCUAACACAUGCAAGUCGAACGUGAAGCCGAUUUCGGUUGGUGGAAAGUGGCGGACGGGUGAGUAAUACGUAGGUGACCUGCCUUGGAGUGGGGGAUAACCAUUAGAAAUGAUGGCUAAUACCGCAUGGUUUUGCUGGAAUGGGAAUUUUUGGCAAAUAAAGUUCAGGCGCUCUGAGAGGGGCCUACGUCCGAUUAGUUAGUUGGUGGGGUAAAAGCCUACCAAGGCGAUGAUCGGUAGCUGGUCUGAGAGGACGAUCAGCCACACGGGAACUGAGACACGGUCCCGACUCCUACGGGGGGCAGCAGUGAGGAAUAUUCGGCAAUGGGGGCAACCCUGACCGAGCAACGCCGCGUGGAGGAUGACGGUUUUUGGAUUGUAAACUCCUUUUCUGUGGGAAGAGUAAGGACGGUACCACAGGAAUAAGUCACGGCUAACUACGUGCCAGCAGCCGCGGU